GACGACGAACUCACGGCGACUUCUUCUCUUCACAGCGACUAAAGGCGAGUUUGAAGACCAAAAUAGAGAGAGCGUCGGCGGCGAGUACUGUGUAAAAGGCGAGUAUUAUCUUCGUCGUCGGCGGCGAGGAAGUUCUCUGUCGCGAGAGAGAAAUUUUUUUUUUUUUUUUUCAAUUGUAAACAGUGACGAGAAAGAAACUGUUCAGUUUCUCUUUUGAUAAUUAAUGAAAGAAUAACUGUCGAUGAUGAUGUGGCAAUUUCGGGUAUGACAUGGCAUUUUCAGAUCUAAUGUGGCAAUUUUAAGAGAAAACCGACAAAGGGUGUUAAUUGUAAUUACA
Molecule: long non-coding RNA, 337 nt
Filed under: Capsella rubella
Lineage: Eukaryota; Viridiplantae; Streptophyta; Magnoliopsida; Brassicales; Brassicaceae
Description: long non-coding RNA (CRUB_LNC000434)
Source: RNAcentral